GGGGAACUAACCCUUAACGGUAAGGGAGCUGUCUUGAAAACGAGUAGACGAGAAAUCGGUGUCUCAGUUCGAAUCUGAGGUUCUCCGCCA
This 90-nucleotide transfer RNA is filed under the name Xenorhabdus lircayensis. RNAcentral's name for it is "Xenorhabdus sp. VLS tRNA-Ser". It matches the Rfam family "tRNA". Rfam says of the family: Transfer RNA (tRNA) molecules are approximately 80 nucleotides in length. The record is from RNAcentral. Lineage: Bacteria; Pseudomonadati; Pseudomonadota; Gammaproteobacteria; Enterobacterales; Morganellaceae.